RNAcentral lists this long non-coding RNA (416 nucleotides) under Capra hircus (goat). Its description in RNAcentral is "lncRNA (ENSCHIG00010008649.1)". Lineage: Eukaryota; Metazoa; Chordata; Mammalia; Artiodactyla; Bovidae. The record is from RNAcentral.
CAUUGGUUGGAGAGUUUGCGUCAAAAAGUUGCCAGAGAGGCGCUUUCUCAGCAAAUCUCCCUGAGAGCGGAACCGACCUCAGCUCCAACUCAGCCUCCACCGUUAUUAAAAAUAAAAAUCGCUAGAGAAGCCCUCCUCAAGUCUACUUUGAUAGCUGGCUAUUUGGAAUUUUGAAGGAUAAUUUGAUUUUUUUCCUCUAACCCCCCAUGUGGCUGUAAGUUCCACCACUCCAAACCCACCCACCAAGGACUCUGAAUCUGUCCAACCCGGGCGAAGCGAGACCUUCCGGCUGGGUCCCCCGGAUUUGGGCCGACUUUGCGCCUCCAAACAACCUUAGCAUGAUGUCUUAUCUUAAGCAACCGCCUUAUGCAGUCAAUGGGCUGAGUCUGACCACUUCGGGCAUGGACUUGCUGCAC